GGCUGAAACUCGCCUACAUGAAGCUGGAGUUACUAGUAAUCGCAGAUCAGAAUGCUGCGGUGAAUGCGUUCCCGGGUCUUGUACACACCGCCCGUCACACCACGGAAGUUGGGGGCGCCCGAAGCCACUUAGCUAACCCUUUUGGGAAGCGAGUGUCGAAGGUGAAAUCAAUAACUGGGGUGAAGUCGUAACAAGGUAGC
Molecule: ribosomal RNA, 200 nt
Filed under: uncultured bacterium
Lineage: Bacteria
Description: partial 16S ribosomal RNA
Rfam family: Bacterial small subunit ribosomal RNA
Source: RNAcentral